Molecule: transfer RNA, 74 nt
Filed under: compost metagenome
Description: tRNA-Lys
Rfam family: tRNA
About the family: Transfer RNA (tRNA) molecules are approximately 80 nucleotides in length. Their secondary structure includes four short double-helical elements and three loops (D, anti-codon, and T loops).
Source: RNAcentral
GAGACAGUAGCUCAGUCGGUAGAGCAUCUGACUUUUAAUCAGAGGGUCCCGGGUUCGAAUCCCGGCUGUCUCAC